GGUUAAGCGACUAAGCGUACACGGUGGAUGCCCUGGCAGUCAGAGGCGAUGAAGGACGUGCUAAUCUGCGAAAAGCGUCGGUAAGGUGAUAUGAACCGUUACAGCCGGCGAUGUCCGAAUGGGGAAACCCAGUGCAAUUCGUUGCACUAUCGUUAACUGAAUACAUAGGUUAACGAGGCGAACCGGGGGAACUGAAACAUCUAAGUACCCCGAGGAAAAGAAAUCAACCGAGAUUCCCCCAGUAGCGGCGAGCGAACGGGGAGCAGCCCAGAGUCUGAAUCAGCUUGUGUGUUAGUGGAACGGUCUGGAAAGUCCGACGGUACAGGGUGAUAGUCCCGUACACCAAAAUGCACAGGCUGUGAACUCGAAGAGUAGGGCGGGACACGUGGUAUCCUGUCUGAAUAUGGGGGGACCAUCCUCCAAGGCUAAAUACUCCUGACUGACCGAUAGUGAACCAGUACCGUGAGGGAAAGGCGAAAAGAACCCCGGCGAGGGGAGUGAAAAAGAACCUGAAACCGUGUACGUACAAGCAGUGGGAGCACCUUCGGGUGUGACUGCGUACCUUUUGUAUAAUGGGUCAGCGACUUAUAUUCUGUAGCAAGGUUAACCGUAUAGGGGAGCCGCAGGGAAACCGAGUCUUAACUGGGCGUUAAGUUGCAGGGUAUAGACCCGAAACCCGGUGAUCUAGCCAUGGGCAGGUUGAAGGUUGGGUAACACUAACUGGAGGACCGAACCGACUAAUGUUGAAAAAUUAGCGGAUGACUUGUGGCUGGGGGUGAAAGGCCAAUCAAACCGGGAGAUAGCUGGUUCUCCCCGAAAGCUAUUUAGGUAGCGCCUCGUGAAUUCAUCUUCGGGGGUAGAGCACUGUUUCGGCUAGGGGGUCAUCCCGACUUACCAACCCGAUGCAAACUACGAAUACCGAAGAAUGUUAUCACGGGAGACACACGGCGGGUGCUAACGUCCGUCGUGAAGAGGGAAACAACCCAGACCGCCAGCUAAGGUCCCAAAGUCAUGGUUAAGUGGGAAACGAUGUGGGAAGGCACAGACAGCCAGGAUGUUGGCUUAGAAGCAGCCAUCAUUUAAAGAAAGCGUAAUAGCUCACUGGUCGAGUCGGCCUGCGCGGAAGAUGUAACGGGGCUAAACCAUGCACCGAAGCUGCGGCAGCGACACUAUGUGUUGUUGGGUAGGGGAGCGUUCUGUAAGCCUGCGAAGGUGUGCUGUGAGGCAUGCUGGAGGUAUCAGAAGUGCGAAUGCUGACAUAAGUAACGAUAAAGCGGGUGAAAAGCCCGCUCGCCGGAAGACCAAGGGUUCCUGUCCAACGUUAAUCGGGGCAGGGUGAGUCGACCCCUAAGGCGAGGCCGAAAGGCGUAGUCGAUGGGAAACAGGUUAAUAUUCCUGUACUUGGUGUUACUGCGAAGGGGGGACGGAGAAGGCUAUGUUAGCCGGGCGACGGUUGUCCCGGUUUAAGCAUGUAGGCUGGUUAUCCAGGCAAAUCCGGAUAAUCAAGGCUGAGGUGUGAUGACGAGGCACUACGGUGCUGAAGUAACAAAUGCCCUGCUUCCAGGAAAAGCCUCUAAGCAUCAGGUAACAUCAAAUCGUACCCCAAACCGACACAGGUGGUCAGGUAGAGAAUACCAAGGCGCUUGAGAGAACUCGGGUGAAGGAACUAGGCAAAAUGGUGCCGUAACUUCGGGAGAAGGCACGCUGGUGUGUAGGUGAAGUCCCUGCGGAUGGAGCUGAGACCAGUCGAAGAUACCAGCUGGCUGCAACUGUUUAUUAAAAACACAGCACUGUGCAAACACGAAAGUGGACGUAUACGGUGUGACGCCUGCCCGGUGCCGGAAGGUUAAUUGAUGGGGUUAUCCGUAAGGAGAAGCUCUUGAUCGAAGCCCCGGUAAACGGCGGCCGUAACUAUAACGGUCCUAAGGUAGCGAAAUUCCUUGUCGGGUAAGUUCCGACCUGCACGAAUGGCGUAAUGAUGGCCAGGCUGUCUCCACCCGAGACUCAGUGAAAUUGAACUCGCUGUGAAGAUGCAGUGUACCCGCGGCAAGACGGAAAGACCCCGUGAACCUUUACUAUAGCUUGACACUGAACAUUGAGCCUUGAUGUGUAGGAUAGGUGGGAGGCUUUGAAGCGUGGACGCCAGUCUGCGUGGAGCCAACCUUGAAAUACCACCCUUUAAUGUUUGAUGUUCUAACGUUGGCCCCUUACCGGGGUUGCGGACAGUGUCUGGUGGGUAGUUUGACUGGGGCGGUCUCCUCCCAAAGCGUAACGGAGGAGCACGAAGGUUAGCUAAUCCUGGUCGGACAUCAGGAGGUUAGUGCAAUGGCAUAAGCUAGCUUGACUGCGAGCGUGACGGCGCGAGCAGGUGCGAAAGCAGGUCAUAGUGAUCCGGUGGUUCUGAAUGGAAGGGCCAUCGCUCAACGGAUAAAAGGUACUCCGGGGAUAACAGGCUGAUACCGCCCAAGAGUUCAUAUCGACGGCGGUGUUUGGCACCUCGAUGUCGGCUCAUCACAUCCUGGGGCUGAAGUAGGUCCCAAGGGUAUGGCUGUUCGCCAUUUAAAGUGGUACGCGAGCUGGGUUUAGAACGUCGUGAGACAGUUCGGUCCCUAUCUGCCGUGGGCGCUGGAGAAUUGAGGGGGGCUGCUCCUAGUACGAGAGGACCGGAGUGGACGCAUCACUGGUGUUCGGGUUGUCAUGCCAAUGGCACUGCCCGGUAGCUAAAUGCGGAAGAGAUAAGUGCUGAAAGCAUCUAAGCACGAAACUUGCCCCGAGAUGAGUUCUCCCUGAGACUUUAAGUCUCCUGAAGGAACGUUGAAGACGACGACGUUGAUAGGCCGGGUGUGUAAGCGCAGCGAUGCGUUGAGCUAACCGGUACUAAUGAACCGUGAGGCUUAACCUU
Molecule: ribosomal RNA, 2902 nt
Filed under: Klebsiella pneumoniae
Lineage: Bacteria; Pseudomonadati; Pseudomonadota; Gammaproteobacteria; Enterobacterales; Enterobacteriaceae
Description: 23S ribosomal RNA
Rfam family: Bacterial large subunit ribosomal RNA
Source: RNAcentral